This 408-nucleotide ribosomal RNA is filed under the name uncultured Methylomirabilota bacterium. RNAcentral's name for it is "bacterial SSU rRNA". It matches the Rfam family "Bacterial small subunit ribosomal RNA", at positions 1027 to 1434 of the family's 1533-position model. The record is from RNAcentral. Lineage: Bacteria; Methylomirabilota (SeqCode).
CGUGGAGACAGGUGGUGCAUGGCUGUCGUCAGCUCGUGUCGUGAGAUGUUGGGUUAAGUCCCGCAACGAGCGCAACCCUUACCCCUUGUUGCCAUCAGGUCAUGCUGGGCACUCUAGGGGAACUGCCCCGGUCAACGGGGAGGAAGGUGGGGACGACGUCAAGUCAUCAUGCCCCUUACGUCCUGGGCUACACACGUGCUACAAUGGCCGGUACAAAGGGAUGCAAAAUCGCGAGGUGGAGCCAAACCCAGAAAGCCGGUCUAAGUUCAGAUUGGAGUCUGCGACUCGACUCCAUGAAGGAGGAAUCGCUAGUAAUCGCGCAUCAGCACGGCGCGGUGAAUACGUUCCCGGGCCUUGUACACACCGCCCGUCACACCACGAAAGCCAGCUGUACUCGAAGUCGCUGAG